GCCCGGGUGGUGGAAUUUGGUAGACACGCAAGCUUGAGGUGCUUGUGCCUAUUGCUGGUGUGGGGGUUCAAGUCCCCCCUCGGGCA
RNAcentral lists this transfer RNA (86 nucleotides) under Spirochaetia bacterium. Its description in RNAcentral is "tRNA-Leu". It matches the Rfam family "tRNA". From Rfam's summary of the family: Transfer RNA (tRNA) molecules are approximately 80 nucleotides in length. Their secondary structure includes four short double-helical elements and three loops (D, anti-codon, and T loops). Lineage: Bacteria; Pseudomonadati; Spirochaetota; Spirochaetia. The record is from RNAcentral.